RNAcentral lists this ribosomal RNA (1343 nucleotides) under uncultured bacterium. Its description in RNAcentral is "16S ribosomal RNA". It matches the Rfam family "Bacterial small subunit ribosomal RNA", at positions 28 to 1378 of the family's 1533-position model. The record is from RNAcentral.
GACGAACGCUGGCGGCGUGCUUAACACAUGCAAGUCGAACGGAAAGGCCCUGCUUUUGUGGGGUGCUCGAGUGGCGAACGGGUGAGUAACACGUGAGUAACCUGCCCUUGACUUUGGGAUAACUUCAGGAAACUGGGGCUAAUACCGGAUAGGAGCUCCUGCUGCAUGGUGGGGGUUGGAAAGUUUCGGCGGUUGGGGAUGGACUCGCGGCUUAUCAGCUUGUUGGUGGGGUAGUGGCUUACCAAGGCUUUGACGGGUAGCCGGCCUGAGAGGGUGACCGGCCACAUUGGGACUGAGAUACGGCCCAGACUCCUACGGGAGGCAGCAGUGGGGAAUAUUGCACAAUGGGCGGAAGCCUGAUGCAGCAACGCCGCGUGCGGGAUGACGGCCUUCGGGUUGUAAACCGCUUUCGCCUGUGACGAAGCGUGAGUGACGGUAAUGGGUAAAGAAGCACCGGCUAACUACGUGCCAGCAGCCGCGGUGAUACGUAGGGUGCGAGCGUUGUCCGGAUUUAUUGGGCGUAAAGGGCUCGUAGGUGGUUGAUCGCGUCGGAAGUGUAAUCUUGGGGCUUAACCCUGAGCGUGCUUUCGAUACGGGUUGACUUGAGGAAGGUAGGGGAGAAUGGAAUUCCUGGUGGAGCGGUGGAAUGCGCAGAUAUCAGGAGGAACACCAGUGGCGAAGGCGGUUCUCUGGGCCUUUCCUGACGCUGAGGAGCGAAAGCGUGGGGAGCGAACAGGCUUAGAUACCCUGGUAGUCCACGCUGUAAACGGUGGGUACUAGGUGUGGGGUCCAUUCCACGGGUUCCGUGCCGUAGCUAACGCUUUAAGUACCCCGCCUGGGGAGUACGGCCGCAAGGCUAAAACUCAAAGGAAUCGACGGGGCCCCGCACAAGCGGCGGAGCAUGCGGAUUAAUUCGAUGCAACGCGUAGAACCUUACCUGGGUUUGACAUGGAUCGGGAGCGCUCAGAGAUGGGUGUGCCUCUUUUGGGGUCGGUUCACAGGUGGUGCAUGGCUGUCGUCAGCUCGUGUCGUGAGAUGUUGGGUUAAGUCCCGCAACGAGCGCAACCCUUGUUCACUGUUGCCAGCACGUUAUGGUGGGGACUCAGUGGAGACCGCCGGGGUCAACUCGGAGAAAGGUGGGGAUGACGUCAAGUCAUCAUGCCCCUUAUGUCCAGGGCUUCACGCAUGCUACAAUGGCUGGUACAGAGAGUGGCGAGCCUGUGAGGGUGAGCGAAUCUCGGAAAGCCGGUCUCAGUUCGGAUUGGGGUCUGCAACUCGACCUCAUGAAGUCGGAGUCGCUAGUAAUCGCAGAUCAGCAACGCUGCGGUGAAUACGUUCCCGGG